This 118-nucleotide ribosomal RNA is filed under the name Pteropus alecto (black flying fox). The record is from RNAcentral. Lineage: Eukaryota; Metazoa; Chordata; Mammalia; Chiroptera; Pteropodidae.
CUCUAUGGCCAUGCCACCCUGAACAUGUCUGAUCCCGUCUGAUAGUGAAAGCUAAGCAGGGUUAGGCUGGUUAGAACUCGGGUGGGAGACCACCUAGGAAGACCAAGUGCUGUAGGCA